RNAcentral lists this ribosomal RNA (428 nucleotides) under Verrucomicrobiota bacterium. RNAcentral's name for it is "Verrucomicrobia bacterium partial 16S ribosomal RNA". It matches the Rfam family "Bacterial small subunit ribosomal RNA", at positions 355 to 776 of the family's 1533-position model. Lineage: Bacteria; Pseudomonadati; Verrucomicrobiota. The record is from RNAcentral.
UAGGGAAUCUUCCGCAAUGGACGAAAGUCUGACGGAGCAACGCCGCGUGAGUGAAGAAGGAUUUCGGUUCGUAAAACUCUGUUGUUAGGGAAGAAAAAAUGUAUAGUAACUAUAUACAAAAGAGACGGUACCUAACCAGAAAGCCACGGCUAACUACGUGCCAGCAGCCGCGGUAAUACGUAGGUGGCAAGCGUUGUCCGGAAUCACUGGGCGUAAAGGGUUCGCAGGCGGAAUAACAAGUCAGAUGUGAAAGGCAUGGGCUCAACCCAUGUAAGCAUUUGAAACUGUAAUUCUUGAGAAGUGGAGAGGUAAGUGGAAUUCCUAGUGUAGCGGUGGAAUGCGCAGAGAUUAGGAGGAACACCGGUGGCGAAAGCGGCUUUUUGGCCUGCAACUGACACUGAGGCGCGAAAGCGUGGGGAGCAAACAGG